AGGAAUGUAGUUCAGUUGGUAGAGCACUUGCUUAGCAUGCAUGAAGCCCUGGGUUUGAUCCCCAUCAUUACAU
RNAcentral lists this transfer RNA (73 nucleotides) under Cricetulus griseus (Chinese hamster). It matches the Rfam family "tRNA". From Rfam's summary of the family: Transfer RNA (tRNA) molecules are approximately 80 nucleotides in length. Their secondary structure includes four short double-helical elements and three loops (D, anti-codon, and T loops). The record is from Rfam by way of RNAcentral. Lineage: Eukaryota; Metazoa; Chordata; Mammalia; Rodentia; Cricetidae.